GCACCUUCGUAGCGGCGUAUAAUGGUUUUCGCUCGCGAGCUGGGGUGCUGACCAAAGUCAUAAACGCCGCCGGAACUGU
RNAcentral lists this microRNA precursor (79 nucleotides) under anatid alphaherpesvirus 1. RNAcentral describes it as "Anatid alphaherpesvirus 1 microRNA dev-mir-D7 precursor". Its record names the gene dev-mir-D7. The record is from miRBase by way of RNAcentral. Lineage: Duplodnaviria; Heunggongvirae; Peploviricota; Herviviricetes; Herpesvirales; Orthoherpesviridae.